UACAGAGGGUGCGAGCGUUAAUCGGAAUUACUGGGCGUAAAGCGUGCGUAGACGGCUAUCUAAGUCGGGUGUGAAAGCCCCGGGCUUAACCUGGGAAUGGCAUUUGGGACUGCAAGGCUGGAGUGUGGCAGAGGAGACUGGAAUUCCUGGUGUAGCAGUGAAAUGCGUAGAUAUCAGGAGGAAUACCGAUGGCGAAGGCAGGUCUCUGGGCUGACACUGACGCUCAUGCACGAAAGCGUGGGGAGCAAACAGG
This 253-nucleotide ribosomal RNA is filed under the name uncultured bacterium. RNAcentral describes it as "partial 16S ribosomal RNA". It matches the Rfam family "Bacterial small subunit ribosomal RNA", at positions 524 to 776 of the family's 1533-position model. The record is from RNAcentral.